CAAAAGGCAUUUUUAAAUGCCACAAAAAAAGAAGAUAGAGGGAUCAU
Non-coding RNA from Oryctolagus cuniculus (rabbit), 47 nucleotides. The record is from Rfam. Lineage: Eukaryota; Metazoa; Chordata; Mammalia; Lagomorpha; Leporidae.